GACGAACGCUGGCGGCGUGCCUAAUACAUGCAAGUUGAGCGCUGAAGGUUGGUACUUGUACCAACUGGAUGAGCAGCGAACGGGUGAGUAACGCGUGGGGAAUCUGCCUUUGAGCGGGGGACAACAUUUGGAAACGAAUGCUAAUACCGCAUAAAAACUUUAAACACAAGUUUUAAGCUUGAAAGAUGCAAUUGCAUCACUCAAAGAUGAUCCCGCGUUGUAUUAGCUAGUUGGUGAGGUAAAGGCUCACCAAGGCGAUGAUACAUAGCCGACCUGAGAGGGUGAUCGGCCACAUUGGGACUGAGACACGGCCCAAACCCCUACGGGAGGCAGCAGUAGGGAAUCUUCGGCAAUGGACGAAAGUCUGACCGAGCAACGCCGCGUGAGUGAAGAAGGUUUUCGGAUCGUAAAACUCUGUUGGUAGAGAAGAACGUUGGUGAGAGUGGAAAGCUCAUCAAGUGACGGUAACUACCCAGAAAGGGACGGCUAACUACGUG
This 497-nucleotide ribosomal RNA is filed under the name uncultured bacterium. RNAcentral describes it as "partial 16S ribosomal RNA". It matches the Rfam family "Bacterial small subunit ribosomal RNA", at positions 28 to 507 of the family's 1533-position model. The record is from RNAcentral.